This 445-nucleotide ribosomal RNA is filed under the name uncultured bacterium. RNAcentral's name for it is "bacterial SSU rRNA". It matches the Rfam family "Bacterial small subunit ribosomal RNA", at positions 355 to 792 of the family's 1533-position model. The record is from RNAcentral.
UAGGGAAUCUUCGGCAAUGGGGGCAACCCUGACCGAGCAACGCCGCGUGAGUGAAGAAGGUUUUCGGAUCGUAAAGCUCUGUUGUAAGAGAAGAACUGUAGGAAGAGUGGAAAGUUUCCUACUUGACGGUAUCUUACCAGAAAGGGACGGCUAACUACGUGCCAGCAGCCGCGGUAAUACGUAGGUCCCGAGCGUUGUCCGGAUUUAUUGGGCGUAAAGCGAGCGCAGGCGGUUUAAUAAGUCUGAAGUUAAAGGCAGUGGCUCAACCAUUGUACGCUUUGGAAACUGUUAAACUUGAGUGCAGAAGGGGAGAGUGGAAUUCCAUGUGUAGCGGUGAAAUGCGUAGAUAUAUGGAGGAACACCGGUGGCGAAAGCGGCCCUCUGGUCUGUAACUGACGCUGAGGCUCGAAAGCGUGGGGAGCAAACAGGAUUAGAUACCCUGGUA